RNAcentral lists this ribosomal RNA (253 nucleotides) under uncultured bacterium. RNAcentral's name for it is "partial 16S ribosomal RNA". It matches the Rfam family "Bacterial small subunit ribosomal RNA", at positions 524 to 776 of the family's 1533-position model. The record is from RNAcentral.
UACGUAGGUGACAAGCGUUGUCCGGAUUUAUUGGGCGUAAAGAGCUCGUAGGCGGUCUGUUGCGUCGGCUGUGAAAACCCGGGGCUCAACUCCGGGCCUGCAGCCGAUACGGGCAGACUAGAGUUCGGCAGGGGAGACUGGAAUUCCUGGUGUAGCGGUGAAAUGCGCAGAUAUCAGGAGGAACACCGGUGGCGAAGGCGGGUCUCUGGGCCGAUACUGACGCUGAGGAGCGAAAGCGUGGGGAGCGAACAGG